AUGGCUCUGGGCUGGAGCAAGGCUUUCCUUAGAGAAGCCAGUCCCCUUCCCCUUGCCCCCGCACUGCUGUCCCCCUGGGCCACGCUGCCCCCACAGCCUCUGCCUGCUGUGUGGAGGCAACGAGGGGCGGCCUGCUGCUGGUGGAGGCCGGGGGAGCGGCUGCUCUGGCUAGGAGUGGGACAAUUAAUGUCCUCCGUCAGGGCGGCAAGUCUCCAGACUUUGAGAAACAUCCCGGGGUUGGGCCGUGCCUGCCUGUUCCUGCAGUGGCUGAAAUACAGCCUUAUCCUGAGGGAAAUGGCGGUGAGAGGCGGCUGCCGGCUGGGAAAGGGGGGAGGCCUUGUGGCUGCGGAGAGCAGGAGCUGCUGCCGGCUGCUGUGGUGCGAAACGAAGAAGCACUUGUGUCCCAACUUCUUCAGGAGCUUAAAAAGACCUUCCUCUUGCUUCAGAGAUAAGAUUUCAGUGUAUGAAGAUCCUACUGGUGAUGCAAUUUUUCUGAUAAAUUCCAUGAGAGAACCGUCCACACAAGGAAAGUUUGGCCAGUCUUUCCCCACCCACACUGUCCUUUACGCCCCUUAGGCCUGUGCAGUUACUGGCUGUGUUACACCCAGCGUUUCAGGGGCUCCCUCUUCAGUCAUCCAGUUUGGAACAGCUUCUGCAGUACAUGGUGCGUUUCAGGAAAGUUGACAGAAGCAGAGACAUUUAGCCCUCCUGCUGCUACAUUCUUCCAUUAGAUGAAUGCAUUACCAUACACCCACCGUAAUCUGCUCUACAACAUUUAAUUUGCAAUGAAAGAAAAAAACAGGUUUUCGUACUGUUACUGCUUUCUGGAGCCAAGUCGUUUUGCAUUCUUAGAGUGAGUCUACUUCAGACAUAGCUGCCCCUCCUCUGUUGUAAGAAGCAGGAGCGUGCUGUAAGGGAACCCACUUCAUCUGUGCUCCCUAGUUUCUACCAGCCUCUGCGUGGGGAGUUGGCAGGUGUGCGAGGAGAGAAAAGAGCAUUCCUUCUUGCUUCAUAUACAUUUUAGUCUUUGUGCAAGUUCAGUGGAUUUAUCAAGUCAUCUACAGCCAAGAAAAGUGAACCCAAACCUUUUUGUUAGGGAAAAGACCAAAGAACAUGUUCACAAGUUUCUUCUUUUUAGAAGAGCUGUGAUUAAAAAUACCAUGGUUUUCCUGAAUCUGUGUUGCUGAAUAAAAACUCGUUGUAUAGUGGAGUAGCA
RNAcentral lists this long non-coding RNA (1216 nucleotides) under Anser cygnoides (Swan goose). Its description in RNAcentral is "lncRNA (ENSACDG00005006268.1)". Lineage: Eukaryota; Metazoa; Chordata; Aves; Anseriformes; Anatidae. The record is from RNAcentral.